Ruditapes philippinarum (Manila clam) is the source of this 1149-nucleotide long non-coding RNA. RefSeq lists it as uncharacterized. NCBI's taxonomy places the organism in Eukaryota, Metazoa, Mollusca, Bivalvia, Venerida, Veneridae. The transcript has 3 exons. The record is from RefSeq and is a predicted model, not a curated record.
UUACACAAGCACGAUCCAUGCUGCCAUAUGUGCGCACUAAUGGACACCCACAUUUCCAGGUUCAAAGCCUUCUGGAUAUACCGUGGCUGCUAGUCCUGGUGUUCGAGCUUUUAACCACGCAGCAAAUGUCGGUUGACAUGGGCCGGUUUGAUACGCUUGAACGACAAUCACAUGUGCUGCAGAUGAUACUAGAUACACUUGAGCAGACACUAAGAUUACCUAUGACCCACAUUUCCGGGAUCGGUUUAGCUAGACUGGAGAGGCGACGGAUGCGUUGCAAAUAUUCUCUGAUCUCGCCUUACACCGACAAAAGAAACAGCUGAAAGGGGAGUAACUGUGAAAUAUUUAGACUACAAUAAUUAGUUAGAGUCACCUGAAGGUUCACAAGGUUGAUUUUAGCAACUUUUCAGCACCUGAAUUAAUCGUGAAUUUUCUUUAUCACUACAAUGUAGAGUGCAAUUAUUGGUGUUAUAUCUUCUAUAUGAUCAACAAAAGGCAAAUGGUGCAUAGAUGUAGUAUGGUUAUUUAGUAAGGAUCGUUAUCAUAAACUCAUGUCUUAACUCAAAGAUGCAAAUGCAUCAGGAAAACCCCUGCUGUGUAUGAGAUUCAAACUCUUUCCCUUUUUAUGUCUUAACGUAUUUUGUGGGUUCGGGUCGUGCCAGGGACUUCGUACUCUUUCAUGUGAGGAAGCUAUUCAGCAAGCUUACAAAAGAACGGUGGUUUUACUCAGAUUCCUGCUCGUCCCAAAGGAAAUGCCUGAAUGGGCACUUGAGGUCUUCCUCCACCAAGGUACACAACACAAAGUUCAGAACAAGAUUUAAAAUGAAGCUCUAGCCCUCAGGUAUCCCGUGCCUAUGUACGACGGCUUUACCUUCUAAAAUGAAGAAAUAAUGGCCAAAAACUACAAUUUGUUCGCAGGACAAAAUAAAUAAAAUUAUAAUAAAAUAAAAAUAGAAGUAUAAGUAUUUGCUUCCAUUGACUGUAUCACAGUUCACAAAUUUGAAUUUGCUCUUUCAAAAUGUAAAUUGAGAUUUAGUGUCACCUCUACUUGCUGUAUUGUUAAAUAAGUAAUUUGGCACUAAGUGCUUUGUGGUGUAUACUAAUGGACAUAAAUUUAUGGUCAUUUCCAAUUCAAUCUUUGGCUUAUAA